UACAGAGGGUGCAAGCGUUAAUCGGAAUUACUGGGCGUAAAGCGUGCGUAGGCGGUUGCGUAAGUCAGAUGUGAAAGCCCCGGGCUCAACCUGGGAAUUGCAUUUGAGACUGCGAAGCUAGGGUGCGGAAGAGGGAAGCGGAAUUUCCGGUGUAGCGGUGAAAUGCGUAGAUAUCGGAAGGAACACCAGUGGCGAAAGCGGCUUCCUGGUCCAGCACCGACGUUCAGGCACGAAAGCGUGGGGAGCAAACAGG
RNAcentral lists this ribosomal RNA (253 nucleotides) under uncultured bacterium. Its description in RNAcentral is "partial 16S ribosomal RNA". It matches the Rfam family "Bacterial small subunit ribosomal RNA", at positions 524 to 776 of the family's 1533-position model. The record is from RNAcentral.